Molecule: ribosomal RNA, 771 nt
Filed under: uncultured bacterium
Lineage: Bacteria
Description: bacterial SSU rRNA
Rfam family: Bacterial small subunit ribosomal RNA
Source: RNAcentral
AGAGUUUGAUCAUGGCUCAGGACGAACGCUGGCGGCGUGCUUAACACAUGCAAGUCGAACGAUGAAGCCCUUCGGGGUGGAUUAGUGGCGAACGGGUGAGUAACACGUGGGUAACCUGCCCUUGGCUUUGGGAUAAGCCCUGGAAACGGGGUCUAAUACCGGAUAUGACUGACUCUCGCAUGGGGGUUGGUGGAAAGUUCCGGCGGCCAGGGAUGGGCCCGCGGCCUAUCAGCUUGUUGGUGGGGUGAUGGCCUACCGAGGCGACGACGGGUAGCCGGCCUGAGAGGGCGACCGGCCACACUGGGACUGAGACACGGCCCAGACUCCUACGGGAGGCAGCAGUGGGGAAUAUUGCACAAUGGGCGAAAGCCUGAUGCAGCGACGCCGCGUGAGGGAUGACGGCCUUCGGGUUGUAAACCUCUUUCGACAGGGACGAAGCGUAAGUGACGGUACCUGUAGAAGAAGCACCGGCUAACUACGUGCCAGCAGCCGCGGUAAUACGUAGGGUGCGAGCGUUGUCCGGAAUUAUUGGGCGUAAAGAGCUCGUAGGCGGUUUGUCGCGUCGACUGUGAAAACUGGGGGCUUAACUCUCAGCUUGCAGUCGAUACGGGCAGACUUGAGUUCGGUAGGGGAGACUGGAAUUCCUGGUGUAGCGGUGAAAUGCGCAGAUAUCAGGAGGAACACCGGUGGCGAAGGCGGGUCUCUGGGCCGAUACUGACGCUGAGGAGCGAAAGCGUGGGGAGCGAACAGGAUUAGAUACCCUAGUAGUCC